UGAGGUUCGGACAUACUUGACCCAAGUGCAGCUGGGAAUGCUGGAGCUACACAAGCAAUCCUGGUCAUGUGCUGUUCUUGCACUCAUGGGUAUGCUCUUUACCUAUGAGGAGAUGGCAGACAGCAUAGUUUCAGCAUUUAGAUUAAAGGAGGAGAAUAAGGGAAGCAGUUGCUUGACCAAGACAAGGUGGAUGCCAUCAUUGAAUAUGCUAUGGGAAGAUUGCUAGGAGUGACCUCAGCAGAAAAUAAGAGGAAGAUGGGCCAAAAACUGAAGGACACCAGGGUAGCACGCAGGAGAAAGCCUGUCAAAUGGUCAUACAGCAUCCAAGGGCAACUUCUUGAGACUGGAAACUGCUAAAUAUCUUGAUGUUCACCUCAAGAGCAACCUGAAUUGGACAGAUCACAUAA
Molecule: long non-coding RNA, 407 nt
Organism: Strongylocentrotus purpuratus (purple sea urchin)
Lineage: Eukaryota; Metazoa; Echinodermata; Echinoidea; Camarodonta; Strongylocentrotidae
Exons: 2
Source: RefSeq, a predicted model, not a curated record